Molecule: long non-coding RNA, 1037 nt
Organism: Orbicella faveolata
Lineage: Eukaryota; Metazoa; Cnidaria; Anthozoa; Scleractinia; Merulinidae
Source: RefSeq, a predicted model, not a curated record
AAAUGAAAGUAAAAACGCCAACAAAAAUUACGCUUACAUACGCUUCCAGAUAUGAAGAGUAUGGCCGUAAUGGCUCAGAUACCAUGAUGGCUAAGCCAAUGAAAGCUCUUGAAUUGCAUUAUCCAGUGAGCCAGUUUUUAUUAAUAUUCUAUAAUGUAUUGUUCUAUUGUACGAAAUAAUCGUAUUAGUUAGAGACUCAAUAGAAAGCGCGUUCAGUUGAAAGAUAAAUCCGUGAACAAAACAUCUCAGCUUGGCUGCUUGUUCAAGUCCUGAGAUCAACUGUUUGUAAAGCUAACGAAGAUGAAGAAUACCUGUGUAAUUUUGCUAGUUCUUCUUGUUGUAGUCUGUUCAGCAGCGCAAUUUCCAUUUCAACGUCGAGUGGAGGAUACUCAACAGGGAAGGGCAAGGGAGUUGCGUGGUUCUUUAUUUAAAAGAUUUGAAGAAGGGGGUAUCUGUGAAGGCUGUGCUCAAAUGGUGGCCAAUGAGUGCUUUUGUUAUCAGAUAACAUACUGUCGUGGAAUGGGAUGCGCAGACAUUGGUUCGUGUAACAGAUCUAACUGCCAGAGUCUACGUUAGAAUACAAGGCACAGAAAUGCGUGAUAUAUUGAGACGCACCCAUUACCUCGGACGAGCUGUACGUUGUUAUAGAAACGCUUAAGUCACGCUCGACUUUCUUAUUAUAGUUUAGCACAUUUUUAACUGACAACUGUAAAAAUCGCUAUAAACGAAAUUUAAACCUUUUUUAACUGUGUUUUACUCCAUAGUAAAGUGUUGUGUUUUUAUGACUCUUAAUGCACAAAUAGAACAGUAAAAGCCUUCAUUGCAAUCAAAGUCUUCAUUUUAAAAAUCUUGGAUUAAUUAAGUUAGUAACUAGCUGACACUUGCAAACAGGGAAACAACGCCCUUGUACGAAUUUCACUAAAUAGAUAUAAUAAGUUUACCACUUUUAUAUUCAUUUCAUAUUUAUCCAUUCCCUGUCACAUGUUAUAAAGUAAAACGAUCAAUAUAGACAUCAAAAGAAGAGUUACAAAACAAUA